Lathyrus oleraceus (garden pea) is the source of this 3352-nucleotide RNA transcript. It is a transcript of the gene named GBF-interacting protein 1-like, with no coding region annotated. The transcript has 12 exons. The record is from RefSeq and is a predicted model, not a curated record. NCBI's taxonomy places the organism in Eukaryota, Viridiplantae, Streptophyta, Magnoliopsida, Fabales, Fabaceae.
CAAAAACACGCACCUUGUGCCAAGUUAUACGAACUUCAAAUGUUUCUUCGUUAGUCUCUCUUUGCAUCAUCACCUAUAACAAAAUCACUGAACCCUUCUUUCUCUUUCUCUAUAAAAAUACCAUCUUUCUUUCUCUCUCUUCCUCUUUCUCUCUCUCUAUUGUUGUUUCAAACUUUAAACUUUCUGGCUUUUCAAUUUUCGGCAAACAUGAGCGGUACUGGGUCGAGGGUUUCGAUUCCGAGCGGUGUCAGGAAGACGAUCCAGAAUAUUAAGGAGAUCACGGGUAAUCAUAGUGAUGAUGAGAUUUAUGCAAUGCUUAAGGAGUGUGAAAUGGAUCCCAACGAGACUACUCAGAAGCUUUUGUUUCAGGAUACAUUUCACGAGGUCAAAAGAAAGAAGGACCGAAGAAAAGAGAAUGUUAACAACAGAGAGACUUUGGAGUCACAUUCGAGACCUGGCACCCAAGGGCGAGGGGUUAGAGGUGGCCGGGGAAAUUUUACACCUCAUCGCAUAGUGCACGAUGCCCGUGGUGGCAAGAAUUCUGCUACCGGCAAAGAUAACGGGUCCAACCAAGAAACUUCAAAGGGUGUGCCUCCUUUGCCAGGUUCGCAAGAGACAAAGGCUAGAGAAAAAAGUUCUGGAACAAGCACUGUUCCAGCUAUUGCCAAUGGGCCUACAACUGUAUCAUCUGGAACUACUAAUGUGAAUUCAUCCCCUUCAUCUACUGUAAAUGUAGAUAGAAUUAGUCCAUCGGAUGGUGGUAAUAUUACUGUCGGUAAGGAUUUUCCUUCUGAUAGUUCAGACAAAGGGGCAAAAGUUGUUAUUGAAAGUGAGUCAGUGCCUUCCAUCAGUGACGGGUUAGGGACUAGACCGUCGUCGUCAUCAGCUGUCUGUUUCUCUUCUUCAGACCCAGUACUGGUUCCAUCGAAUGAUUCACGUUUUCCUGGUGCUGUUGGUGCAAUUAAGCGGGAAGUGGGAGGCCAACGUCCUCCCACGGAAUUAAAUGUGGCCAACACUUCUGAGAACAAAUCUUCUGCUUCUGAGACUGGUAGCUCUUUUCAAGGAAAGAGUCAAAGAAAAUCACCGGCAGUGGCAAAGAACCACGUUCCUGAGGUGCCAUCUUCAUCAACAGUAAUACAUGGGACCACCUCAGUUAGCCGCCCUUCAUCCAACUACAACAACCGAUCACAACAAAUAAGCGGCCUUCAGAAAGCUGGUUCUAUUAAGGAGUGGAAACCAAAGCCAACACAUUCAAUUAACCAGGUUUCCGGACCAGCUAGCGUAUCCGAGUCUUCCGUCGUUUCAGCUGAAGCUACCAUACAGUUGCCGUCUGUGUCUAAGGUCCUUGAUUCGGAGGAAGCUGCUUCUGAACUGCAGAAGAGGCUUGAGAAUUUACGCGUUCCACCGCGUCAACAUGUCAUUCUUCCAAACCAUAUUUUGGUUCCUGAAUCUGAAAAGAGCAAGUUUAGCUUUGGGAGCUUGGGAAUCAAUUUUGGGGUUACUACAAAUAAUGUUACAAGCCCAGAGAGCGAAAAGAGUUCAACUCUUUCCAAAGUUUCUCAGGCUAUUGAAGAAACUGCAGCGGAGCAGAACUCAAGCAAUCAAAAUGCUUCAGUUCCGCCUGCGGUCGGAGAUUAUUCUGACAACCCACAACCACUCCCGGCUACUACUAUACCUGAAAAUUUGUCAUCAUCCGUGGAGGUGGAUGUCUCAUCCAGUAAUAUUCAAGAAGAUAACGAGUCCAAACAUGUCACAACUAUGCCAUCUGAAGGUAAUGAAUACCCAGUGGUGCAUACUUCUCCGAACUACAAUUUAGGUUUCAUGCCCCCAAUGUUGGAAACACAGUCUGCACAAAUUGAUAAUUCUGAGUCUCAGGCACGCGAUAUUUCUCGGCUUCCAAGCUUUGUUGUUCAUCAACCAUUUGAUCCUAAUUAUUACCCCCAGUAUUACCGCUCUGGUGCUGAUAGUGAUGGCCGUCUUUCUCCUUUACCUUCUGCCGGGGUUACAACCAAGUACAAUGGCGGUGUUCCAGUGCUUCCUACACCAAGUUCUCAGUCUCUUCAAGAGGGAGCUGUCUUGUCCACAGCUGGUCAGACACAACAUGCAACUCAAGCUGCUGGGCUGAUGCAAAACUCAAUAGCUACUCAGCAGCCUCUCCCCGUAUUUCGAGGACCUAGUGGGGUUCAUAUUCCUCAUUACUCUCCUAAUUACAUCCCUUAUGGUCAUUAUAUUUCACCAUUCUAUCUCCAACCUCCCGCAAUCCAUCAAUAUUUGGGUAAUGGUGCAUUUCCUCAACAGCCUCAGGCCAGCACUGUAUAUGCACCUCCUUCUGCUGUGGCUGCAAACGGGAUGAAAUAUCCCCUUCCACAGUACAAACCUGGAACAAAUGCAGCUAACUCGGCUCAUUAUGUAAUGCCGGCUGCCUAUGGUGCAUACGGCUCCUCCCCAUCUGGGGGUUAUAAUCCUAAUUCUGCAGAAACCGCAGGAAAUUCGACCUCUAGCGAGGAUCUUGGUUCAUCACAGUUCAAGGAAAACAAUGUAUACCUCAAUGGACAGCAGAGCGAAGGUUCAGCAAUGUGGGUUGCUGCACCAGGUCGAGACAUUUCCAGUAUGCCCGCCAGUUCAUUCUACAACCUUCCACCUCAGGGUCAGCAUGUGACUUUUGCCCCGACACAGGCUGGCCAUGGAAACUUUGCUGGCGUCUAUCAUCAUCCUGCACAAGCCGGGACAGCCGGAACAGUUCAUCCACUUCUGCAACAAUCACAGACAAUGGCUGGAGCAGUUGAUAUGGUAGGGCCGGGCGGAAAUGUUUAUCAGCAACAACCUCAGCAUGCACAUAUAAAUUGGCCAAGUAACUACUGAAACAGGUGGGUGACUAGAGAUAAACAGGAUAAAUUGAAGUCCUAGUUAGGGCAACAUUUUUGGAAACUCUAAAAAUAAUGCUGGAGUUCCGUGAAGGCGAUUGGCUGCAUGAAGCUGGAAAAUUUGCCAAUAGGAUGAUCUGAUUGCUGGGCAUGUGAAGUUAAAGAUGGAAUACAGGAAAGUGUGGGAGAGGCACUUAUGGAGGGUUUUAUUAUUAUUAUUAAAAUAGUGUAUAAAUGCAGUUAAGCUAUUAUAUACUUAAAACUAUGACAAUAAAGUUUUCUCUAAAAAUGUUGUAACUGUAGCAAGUUUUGUUCAUACACUUGGUGUUAUGAAAUUGCAAUCCAAAAGAAUCAUGGUCUUGGUAAUUAUAGAUGUCUGGUGAGUGUUGUGAUGUUGAAUGCAAUGAAUAUCUAUUAGUAAUGUAUUGUUGGACGGUGUAAAUGGUCUGUAAUAUAUUAUGGAUUAUGGGUGUUUUUUUUGGUAACCA